GGAAAUUGUCUCGAGCCCCAGUGGAUGGCACAGGCAGGAGACCCCUGCACACGGGAGCAUCCUUCCUGGAGGGCGGAGGGGAUGGACUUUCCGCCCACCUGAGGGCCCUGGGCAGGGGCUCCAUGAGCCCAGGCUUGAGGGGAAGGAUGCCCAGGUUCUUCCCCAACCUCCAACAUGACUCCUCCCUCCCCCAGGAGUCAGCAUCAACCGACAGAGUUCAAGGCCUGGAACUUCUCUCUAAGGUUUCUCACUCUGCCCUGCUGGCUCGGGUCUGCCGGGUCCCUGGAACCCUCUUCCUUCGGCUGGCACUCUGCAGACUGCUGGAAGUCCUUAACCUGCCCCAGCAGGGCCACCGGUGGGCCACAGGGCCGGCCGCCCCCUGCUCGGCGUACCUCAUCGCGGGAGGCAUACUUGGAGCAGAGCUCACGGACGUCGGGCCAGCUGAAGGUCUCUGUGGGGCUGAGGGGGCUCCGGGCGGAGGGCCGGCCCCCAGGCGAGGUGGUCCUCUGGCCGACAGCAGACGGGUUGAAGAAGAAACGCUGUGGUGACAUCUCCCCAGCCGAGGAGGGCUUGGGAGGGCUGUGCUCCUGGGCCAUCAGCUGCUCAUAGUCGAAUAGAGACAGCACCGGCUUCCUCUUACCUGUGAGGAGAGAGCAAGCUGCCUGAAGCAUGGGGCGGGAGGGCAGAGCUGCAAGGGGGUGCUCUGAGCAGGCCCCAACUCACUUUCCAGGCAAGGCUGGUUGUUGGGGUUUUGGGUGUGAUGGGAGAAAUCUCACUUACCAUCCACAGCCUCUUUCAUGAAGGGCCAUAGGAAGAAUGAAGAAAAGGCAGUGGAAAGGGGUCAGGAGUCAAAGGAAGAGGGGGAGCUUCUGCUCCCAUCCUGCUAAAGGAGGGGCCUGGGGCCAUGCUUCCUCCAGAAGCCUCUGCUG
RNAcentral lists this long non-coding RNA (929 nucleotides) under Pan troglodytes (chimpanzee). RNAcentral's name for it is "long non-coding RNA NONPTRT005100". The record is from RNAcentral. Lineage: Eukaryota; Metazoa; Chordata; Mammalia; Primates; Hominidae.